AUGAUCUCCUCAUCUCUCUGGUUGUUGCUGCUGCUGGCAGCUGUUUCUCGUGUCCACUGUGUUGAACUGACUCAGACUGAUUCUCUUGUCUUAAGUCCUGGUCAGGUUUUGACUCUGUCCUGUAAAAUCUCUGGAUAUUCAGUGACUGACAGCAGCUACUGUACUAACUUCAUUCGGCAGCCUGCAGGAAAAGCCCUGGAAUGGGUUGGAGGGAUGUGUGGUAGCGGUAACACAUGUUACAGUGAUAAACUGAAAAGUAGAUUUCAAGUUACUCUGAAAGGACAGAAUAUGCAGACUGAGGAGACAGCUGUGUAUUACUGCGCCAGAGAGUCACAGUGA
Non-coding RNA from Sinocyclocheilus anshuiensis, 339 nucleotides. The record is from the annotation of a RefSeq genome assembly. Lineage: Eukaryota; Metazoa; Chordata; Actinopteri; Cypriniformes; Cyprinidae.